This is a non-coding RNA of Ictidomys tridecemlineatus (thirteen-lined ground squirrel), 72 nucleotides long. NCBI's taxonomy places the organism in Eukaryota, Metazoa, Chordata, Mammalia, Rodentia, Sciuridae. The record is from Rfam.
UGGGAUGUAGCUCAGUGGUAGAGCAUGUGCUUAGCAUGCACAAAGCCCUGGGUUUGAUCCCCAGCAUUCCAA